Long non-coding RNA from Gossypium arboreum, 4474 nucleotides. RefSeq lists it as uncharacterized. Lineage: Eukaryota; Viridiplantae; Streptophyta; Magnoliopsida; Malvales; Malvaceae. The transcript is spliced from 3 exons. The record is from RefSeq and is a predicted model, not a curated record.
UCCACCCUAAUUACCUAUAACCGCCUAAUUACAUUGUUAUAUAUAACUAGAAAGUGGUUACUUAAUUCGUUAGUAAAAAACAAAAACAAAAAAACCAUGGCUCAUACAUGUCUGACCGCCAUGGUGUCCUCCGUCACAGUCCCACCACCCUAUCUGACCACCACCUCCUACGCCAAACCACCGUCUUACUUCUUCAGCAACCUCAAAAUCCUUCUCCUCAAAGCACCCCUUUCAGCUUCUCGACAAAGAACCCCCAAUUUCACUAGGUAUAAUAUGUAAUUACGAGUUCCUUUUUUCUUGUGUUUAUGAUCGAGCUAGCUUCUGUAUUUUAUUCAGGUGACUGAUAACCUUGUGGAUGGCCCCAUAAUUGGAGCCGUUCGAUCACUGUGAAUUGCUACAACGAUCAAGUAGUAGACGGGGAUGAAGAUGAAGAAUAUGAUCGGAGUUUGGAUCUGUUAGUUAGAUUUGUUCAAAACGUAUUUAGAAAGAUUUCUAAACGAGCAAGGAAAGCCGUUCGAUCAGUUUUGCCUGUCUUCAUCCCUAGUAAUCUGGUGGGAUUAUCUGUUAAUGGUGUCCUGAUACUGGCAUUGUUGUGGGUUUUAACGGCAUUUCUCGAGGUAAUUCAUCAUUUGAUACACCUAUGUUUAAAUCGAGUAGUUAGUCACUUUACACUUUCUAGUUAAUUUGCUAGCUUGGAUAUCAGCAAUUCGACUAUUUAUACAAAAGUAAUUAGCAAAAAUCAGCAACGUUUCAACUAUUUAUAAGCAAAAAAUUAGCAAUUCAUGUUCAUAUGUUUACCAGCAACUGAACUAACUUUUCAGUUUUUGUGAAGUAUGAGGACUAAAUUUUGAUAAACUAAUGGGAUUAGCUGCUUAGUUUUCAUAGAGGGAUAGGGUAAACUAAUGUGCAGCUGUAAUUACAUAUAUGGAAAAUAUUGAUUUUAAUAGUGUUAGAGUCGGAUAAUGGAAUAGGAUAAACUAAGUUAUAAACCAAAAGGGAUGAUUGGUUCAGUAGACUGAAAUGAAAUACUGUUAAACUGAUAGAAUAAAUCUACAUCUAUUGGUGGAAAACCUUGGCUGUUCUGGCUGGGAAUUCAAUAUGCUUUCUUAAGUUUUUGUGUUCAACAUUUUUAUUCUGGGUUGGUCUUUUUAUUAGUUCUGUUAACUUGGUUGGAAAUUUGGGCUUUUAGUUAUUUACAGUAUGUGUGUUUUGCGAACCAAUCGGCAACUUUCAGUUAGUUAUAUACAGAGGGAGGGUGGAUAUGGCCUCCUGAUAGCUUUGAGGUAAUAUUAAUUUUCAAAAUUAUCUUGGCCGAAAACUGAGAAGCGAAUGCUUACGGUUUCCUAAUUUCAUUUCAAUUGAUAAAGUGAAAGCGAAGUGUCCAUUGCUCUAGGACCUAUGCUGGUUAAUAUCCUUGUGCAGAUGACAGUAUCUUUGCAGGGGAAAUCAGCUCCUCAUCAUUUGUGGUUGUUUUACUUGAAAUAGAAUUCAUUGAGCAUUGAUGGUAAAAGUUUCCUAGAAAUAAAUUGGGGUUGUUUUACUUGAAAUUGAAUUUGAAUUCAUAGAGCAUUGAUAAUAGAAGUUUCCUUAUAAUGUUAUUUACUUGGAACUUAUCAAGCCGAAGUUUUAGGUCUUGUGUAAAAAAACGAACCAGAUUUAUUUGUAUAUGUGUAGAUGAGGUUGUGUCAGCAAAGAUCGAGACCCUAAGACCUUGAGCGCCCAAGAAUCGUGUGGACUAGUUAGUUUGUUAAGUUAUUUAGUUUAGUACUUGCAAUAAUUGGUUCUAAUUAGACUGUUGAUGUAGCUUCUUCUGUUCUGCCGCUUGUUUUCUUUUAACACAUUUUGAUCUAGAAUAGGUCAUCUGAGCUCUUGGAAGUCUCAUGUUUGUAAGCAUCUUACUCAUACAUGGCAUUUAGACUGUAUUGUGCAUGCAAGAAAGCCGUGACAGAAGAAUCGAUGAACUUGUUGAUGACCAACGCAUGUGGAGUGGUGCACAGCCUGCCACUUGAUUUGUAGGUGAGAACAUUGGGAGGGAUACAAUACAAUAUACACACAUAGCAGCCUUGUUAAAGAAAUGCCUUCCUUUUAGCCAACAAUCAAGUUGUCGAGUGCUUUAGCUUAUUCCCAAAUUGGAUGCCUAACAUCAGAAUCAUAGAAUAAAAAUAGCCUCAGUAAUCAAGUUCAGUCAAGUUCGAAAUAGUAAGGAUUCGAGUUCGAAAUUAGAAGUUAAAGUGUUUGAAUAUUGAAAUAAGGUUUGAGCUCGAAAUUAAGCUUGUGGACCACUUAAAUCGAUCGAUAAUGAAUUUCAUUUUUUCCGGAUAACAAAAAAUAUAUUAUAUUUUAUAUCAAUACACCAAGAAAAAACUAAAAGUAACAUACAUCAAUUACAGAUAUUGAUUUUUUUAAAUAAUUUUCUAAACUUAUUUUUCAAUCUUCAAUUUUAGGAAUUAUGACAAUUUUCAGUAUAAAAAUAAAAAAUUAAAUUCAAAACUUCAUUUUCGAAAAUUUUAAAUAUAAAAUCAUAAUGUUAUUGUUUCAUUUCAGACAAUUUCAAUAGAACUUUAAAUAAAACAAAAUUCUCUGAACAUUGUUUAGACCAUCCGCAAGAUUCAAACCCCAAAUUCUUACUAACCAAUACAACAAACAUGGGUUUUUCAUUCAUUAUGUCUAAUUUUAGAUAAAUUUCCUAAGAAAAUGUACAUAAAAAGACAUUAAGAAACAGAGUUGAAAGGUUCAUAUGUACUGAGAUCCUUGACAAUUGUAGCAAUGGAGCCAGCUGCUGCAAGAACUGAUAUAAUCAGGCAAAGCAACACCAAGAAGUUUAACCAUAUCCAUUUCCAACUAAAGGCUUGGAUCUGUUCUCUCGAUAUGUGCAUUUGGAUCGGGAAAUACACUGUCAGCGGCCAAAACGAAGCGGCACCCAGGAAGCCGAGGAUUCCAUUGAAGAACGGUAGAAGCAUCGCCAGCACGAUGGUCAGUAUCACGUAACCUGUUCGCCACACAACCCUGAAAGCACUGAAACUGUAAACCCCAAACAAUGGAAGCUUAAUUGGUGGACUUUCUUUGAUGAAACUGCUGUUUGGCCAUCGGUUGAAGCACCUGUCUUCCACCUGUUUGAAAAUUGGCUGACAGAAUACCUAUGAAGAAAACCAUCAUGAUUUUGCUGAAGAUAUGGGGAUAUUUUAUUGUGUGUUGUUUGUAGGUGAUGGUAAUGGGGGUGUUUUUACCUGGUAAGCUCCUAUAAGAUGUACAAUGAUGAAUACAUUAGCCAUGUCGAUAAGCCAGUACGGUUCGUAAAAGCCAAACCCUGUUAGGAAAUUGCCUGGUGUGUUGUUGCCUAAUGCUGCGUAACCCAGAGCACCACAUGAAACGUAGAAUAUGGUGGUGACCGAGACGCCCACUGAGGUUGCCUUCUUCAUUGAUUCAUUUUCUGGUGGAUUUGGUUUCAGUGUAUCCUGCAAUUCCAUGCCAAUUACAUAAAUGGAAGUCUUUUCUUUUAUUGAAAAGGAAAAGGGUACCAUUGAAACCAGGAGGACUUGCCUGUAUCUCGACGAGUACAGUUGAGAAAGCAUAAGCGAAGGCGAUGUCACCAAUGGCUUCGAAGCAGUUCCAAGUCUUCUGCCAGCUGGUCACGUCAACUCCCACAGUUGUUCCUGUCAAGCUCGUCCUAGCGUGCUCCCCUCCUACAGCUUUGGCUAUCGAGAGGCUGAGGCCGAUGGUAGAGUACCCGAAAGACAUAACCGCGGCGACUGCGGAAAGCCACGAGAGCUCAUGGAAGUUUGGGAUUUGGCUUAAUAUGAUCUCUAUGAUGCCAAAGAUGAUCAUAAAGUUGUUGUUUUUGACAUGGCAGCCGACAUUCUGGCCAUCCUUGUGAAAGCAAUCUGAUCUUUUUAUUGCGCUGGUUAAUCAAAGGGUCCCUGCAACAAUCAGCCAGUAGCGUGGAUGUAAACCAAGUGAUGAUAGAGAAGAUUACAAGGGCAAUGGGACCAGCAAUCCACCCUAACUGAGCAAUGGCCCAUGAAAGAGAUAAGACCCCUGAGCCUAUGACUGCUGUUAUUAUAUGUGCACUUGCAGUCACCCAAGUUCCUGCAACAAAAAAACACAGGUUUUUAACUUAAAAAAUAAAAAUAAAAAAUAAAAAAACUGAUGAAAUUUGAAACCUCUCUUUGCAGAAGAAAAAAAAAAAACCCAGAGUUGGAUAUGGCUUGCCUGCUCUUUUUGAGCUACCAUCAUCACCAUAUCGGUUGCUAGCUUCCAGUUCCAUGGCAUGUAAAGAUUGAUCCUUGCUUUCUCUCUGUACUUGAAAGAUGUUAGAUUUGUGUCAAAUUAAAGCCAAACUCCUUAAAACUUUAACUCUCAACCUAGACUGUUACGAAUGGGAAGAUUCUCUCAAAUAAAUGUAAAAUCACCCUAUUUGGCAAUUCCAAACUAAGUUCCUUUAUUAUUCCAAUACCAACUCAGAAAAUUAAUCUAA